Lynx canadensis (Canada lynx) is the source of this 531-nucleotide long non-coding RNA. RefSeq lists it as uncharacterized. The transcript is spliced from 3 exons. The record is from RefSeq and is a predicted model, not a curated record. Lineage: Eukaryota; Metazoa; Chordata; Mammalia; Carnivora; Felidae.
UUUUUUUUUGUUUUUUUUUUUAAAGUGAAUAUACAAUUUAUUUAACAUUCAAACUUCAUUAAGACAUGUGCAAUAUGGCAAUUUUAAUUACUGGGGGUUUAACCCUACCUAGGAUAUGAUUGCUUGCUGGGGCUUAGCAACAGGGUCCAGUUCACACUUAGCACUAAUUAAAUACUUUAUUGAAUAAAUACAAUACCAAACAAAAUGCAUUCAAAUGCUUUCUAAAAAAAAAAUCAAUUUUAAAGGCCUUUCUAUUCAGGCUAAUGACAAACACAAUAAAGGCAGAUAUGCUAGUUUAACAUAAUUGGCUGAUUUUAUACAGCACUUAUAUCUUUUAGUCCACAAGUAUAUUAUUAAAUGAUAGAGAACAUCUAAUACAACCAUUUCUACAGAACUAGGAAAUAAAUUUCUAAGAAAGAAAGAUUUUACAGACCCCAUCUUUUAUACCCAACCCAACAGUCUAACUCUAAAGAGGAUAAAGCCAAUGCCUUUCUCCUCAUAAGAGCUCACGACUAAAUCGGAAGAUCACAC